AAAAUCUGUCGCUUCGGCCAGAUUUACCGAGGACAAAUUUGAGCAAAGGAGGGACACACGAAAGGAUGUUUUCUUUUUUGCAGGAAAGGUUCUAAUAGUGAACCAGGUUCUAAUAGUGAACCAGACUCUGAUAGUGAGUCAGACUCUGAUAGUGAGUCAGCAGGUUCUGUAUCCGAGGCGAGAAUCGGAUUCUGAUAGUGGAUCUGUAGCCUUGGUCAGAAUCAG
RNAcentral lists this long non-coding RNA (225 nucleotides) under Zostera marina. RNAcentral describes it as "long non-coding RNA (ZMAR_LNC005421)". The record is from RNAcentral. Lineage: Eukaryota; Viridiplantae; Streptophyta; Magnoliopsida; Alismatales; Zosteraceae.